Molecule: ribosomal RNA, 432 nt
Filed under: uncultured bacterium
Lineage: Bacteria
Description: partial 16S ribosomal RNA
Rfam family: Bacterial small subunit ribosomal RNA
Source: RNAcentral
GAUGAACGCUGGCGGUAUGCUUAACACAUGCAAGUCGAACGGUCACUUCGGUGAUAGUAGCGGACGGGUGAGUAACGCGUGAGAAUCUGUCUUCAGGUCGGGGACAACAGUUAGAAAUGACUGCUAAUACCGGAUGUGCCUUUGGGUGAAAGAUUUAUUGCCUGAAAAAGAGCUCGCGUCAGAUUAGCUAGUAGGUGGUGUAAGAGACUACCUAGGCUCCGAUCUGUAGCUGGUCUGAGAGGACGAUCAGCCACACUGGAACUGAGACACGGUCCAGACUCCUACGGGAGGCAGCAGUGGGGAAUUUUCCGCAAUGGGCGAAAGCCUGACGGAGCAAUACCGCGUGAGGGACGAAGGCUUUUGGGUCGUAAACCUCUUUUCUCAAGGAAGAUGAUGACGGUACUUGAGGAAUAAGCAUCGGCUAACUCUGUG